ACUCCUACGGGAGGCAGCAGUGGGGAAUAUUGCACAAUGGGCGCAAGCCUGAUGCAGCCAUGCCGCGUGUGUGAAGAAGGCCUUCGGGUUGUAAAGCACUUUCAGUCGUGAGGAAGGUAGUGUAGUUAAUAGCUGCAUUAUUUGACGUUAGCGACAGAAGAAGCACCGGCUAACUCCGUGCCAGCAGCCGCGGUAAUACGGAGGGUGCGAGCGUUAAUCGGAAUUACUGGGCGUAAAGCGCAUGCAGGUGGUUUGUUAAGUCAGAUGUGAAAGCCCGGGGCUCAACCUCGGAAUAGCAUUUGAAACUGGCAGACUAGAGUACUGUAGAGGGGGUAGAAUUUCAGGUGUAGCGGUGAAAUGCGUAGAGAUCUGAAGGAAUACCGGUGGCGAAGGCGGCCCCUGGACAGAUACUGACACUCAGAUGCGAAAGCGUGGGAGCAAACAGGAUUAGAUA
This 454-nucleotide ribosomal RNA is filed under the name uncultured bacterium. RNAcentral describes it as "bacterial SSU rRNA". It matches the Rfam family "Bacterial small subunit ribosomal RNA", at positions 335 to 784 of the family's 1533-position model. The record is from RNAcentral.